GGGCCCAUAGCUCAGCUGGCUAGAGUACCUGGUCGACAACCAGGGGGUCACUGGUUCAAGUCCAGUUGGGCCCACCA
Molecule: transfer RNA, 77 nt
Filed under: Planctomycetota bacterium
Lineage: Bacteria; Pseudomonadati; Planctomycetota
Description: tRNA-Val
Rfam family: tRNA
About the family: Transfer RNA (tRNA) molecules are approximately 80 nucleotides in length. Their secondary structure includes four short double-helical elements and three loops (D, anti-codon, and T loops).
Source: RNAcentral